GAGCAAAUAGCUUAAUUGGUAAAGUGUUGGAGCGUACGCAUAAGAAUCUACAACGGUUGCAGGUUCAAGUCCUGUUUUGCUCA
RNAcentral lists this transfer RNA (83 nucleotides) under Caudoviricetes sp. RNAcentral describes it as "tRNA-OTHER". It matches the Rfam family "tRNA". From Rfam's summary of the family: Transfer RNA (tRNA) molecules are approximately 80 nucleotides in length. Their secondary structure includes four short double-helical elements and three loops (D, anti-codon, and T loops). The record is from RNAcentral. Lineage: Duplodnaviria; Heunggongvirae; Uroviricota; Caudoviricetes.